This is a non-coding RNA of Phascolarctos cinereus (koala), 629 nucleotides long. The record is from RefSeq and is a predicted model, not a curated record. Lineage: Eukaryota; Metazoa; Chordata; Mammalia; Diprotodontia; Phascolarctidae.
UCAGGUCUUUCCCUGGGGAUCAGGGAGACACUGCCAGGCCUGCUCCAGGGCACAGAGGCCUGAACCCCCGGCAACUUCAUAAGUUCCUAUAAGCUGGAAGGAAGGCUGGACAUCAUCGGGUCCAAACCUCUCUUUUUAUAGAAAAGGAAGCUGAGGCCCCACCAUGUGCCUUGUCCAACAUCAAAUGGCUGGCAAUGGAAAAUGCCCGUGUCCUGUGACACCAAACAUACCGCCUCUCACUAUGCUGGGCCCCUGAGGCCACUAAAGCAUGGAGGGAUUUGCCCAAAGUUAUACAGUUGGCCACAGCCCCCAUGUCCUAACUUCCUAGUCUAGUGUCUUUUCUGGCUCUAGCCUGGGGGAUGGGCCUGUUAUUGUCUCCAUCUGAGGGCCUGGUCUUCCUGGCUUCCCAUCCCAUUUCCCAAGGCCUGAGGGCCAACCAUGAACCAUGAGGUCAGGAAGCCUGAACGACUGAACAAGAACAACAAAAAUGGGCCAGGCACGGUGCUAGUUAUUAUCUCAUUUGAUCUGGACAAUGACCUUGCAAGGUCCUGUGGGAAGUCAUUGUCUUGGGGUCGUGCCCACACUUCGGAGCACAGAAGCAGAGUUCUAUGAUGGGAACAGGAUUGCAG